RNAcentral lists this ribosomal RNA (253 nucleotides) under uncultured bacterium. Its description in RNAcentral is "partial 16S ribosomal RNA". It matches the Rfam family "Bacterial small subunit ribosomal RNA", at positions 524 to 776 of the family's 1533-position model. The record is from RNAcentral.
UACGAAGGGGGCUAGCGUUGCUCGGAAUCACUGGGCGUAAAGCGCACGUAGGCGGAUUGCUAAGUCAGGGGUGAAAUCCUGGAGCUCAACUCCAGAACUGCCUUCGAUACUGAGAGUCUUGAGUCCGAGAGAGGUGAGUGGAACUGCGAGUGUAGAGGUGAAAUUCGUAGAUAUUCGCAAGAACACCAGUGGCGAAGGCGGCUCACUGGCUCGGUACUGACGCUGAGGUGCGAAAGCGUGGGGAGCAAACAGG